AUGCUCCGCGCCGCCAUCUCGCGCCUCGGCGCCCGCCUGCACCGCCAGCCCUCCCCGGCGACCCCUCCCCUCCGCGCCCUCUCCACCGGCCGGGGCAAGCGCUCGUCCCCCACCGCGCCGCCCCCCGAGCCCGAGGACGAGGGCCUCAUGCGCGGCCUCUUCGUGCUCUCCCGCGACCCCGCGCACCCGCCGCGCCUGCUCGUGGUGCAGCCGCGCCUCCGCCGUGGCGCCCUCCUCGACUCCAAGCUCUCCGAGGCGCUCAACCUCGCCAGUUCCCUCGAGGAGUCCCGCGACGGCUUCGAGCACGCCGAGUCCGCCGCCAAGGGCGCGCCGCCGCACCUCGUCGUCCAGAACCCCGCCUCCCGCGGCCGCAACCAUGCCGAUACGUAUUUUGGACCUGGAACUGUGGAUAAUAUCAAGUGUUACCUGAGGGCAUUGGACGAAAAGGAAGAAUUAGAUGCAGUUUUUGUUAAUACGCUCCUCUCUGGGGUCCAACAGAGGAACUUGGAGGUUGCCUGGGGAAAACCAGUUUUAGAUCGUGUGGGCCUUAUAAUUGAGAUAUUCAAUGCUCAUGCUGAAACAAAGGAAGCAAAGCUACAGUCAGAAUUAGCAGCUCUCAUGUACAUGAAGACUAGGCUUGUCCGUGUCCGCGGCCCAGGUGGAAAACUAGCUUUUGGUGCAAGUGGGGAAGCUGAAGUUGUCAGUGCUCGAGGGAGAGGAAGUGGCGGACGGGGUUUCAUGAGUGGAGCUGGUGAAACGGAACUUCAACUACAACGCAGGAGAAUCCAAGAACGUCGUCUAAGCUUGUUAGCUCAAAUUGAAGACGUACGCCGAACUAGGGCGAUACAGCGUUCGAGUCGAAAGAAGCAUGGUGGCUCAUUUGGUCAAGACCUUGUAACUGUGGCAGUCGUCGGAUAUACAAAUGCUGGAAAAUCUACUCUAGUGAAUGCACUUUCUGGAGCUGGUCUAUACAGUGAUGAUAGGUAUGCUGAAAAUUAA
This 999-nucleotide ribosomal RNA is filed under the name Triticum aestivum (bread wheat). RNAcentral's name for it is "partial small subunit ribosomal RNA". Lineage: Eukaryota; Viridiplantae; Streptophyta; Magnoliopsida; Poales; Poaceae. The record is from RNAcentral.